UACAGAGGUCCCAAGCGUUGUUCGGAUUCACUGGGCGUAAAGGGUGCGUAGGCGGUCGGGUAAGUCUGACGUGAAAUCUUCAAGCUCAACUUGGAAACUGCGUCGGAUACUAUUCGGCUCGAGGAAUGGAGGGGAGACUGGAAUACUUGGUGUAGCAGUGAAAUGCGUAGAUAUCAAGUGGAACACCAGUGGCGAAGGCGGGUCUCUGGACAUUUCCUGACGCUGAGGCACGAAAGCGAGGGGAGCAAACGGG
This 253-nucleotide ribosomal RNA is filed under the name uncultured bacterium. Its description in RNAcentral is "partial 16S ribosomal RNA". It matches the Rfam family "Bacterial small subunit ribosomal RNA", at positions 524 to 776 of the family's 1533-position model. The record is from RNAcentral.